AUGACCGAUUGGUAUUCGAGCCUGUUUGCAGGUGGGUGCACGGUGAGGCAAAGUGCUAACAACAGAAACGAGCCAAGCUGUGGAGAGCUCAUUUGAAGAGUGUUUUUGAUGACCAUCCAAGGGAGCACAAUCGCAAAGACACCAUGCUUUGCACCAAAAGAUUAUCGGACAUUGCUACGACAACUUGCUGAACUCCAAAAAGAAUAUAGCUUCAUGAAGUUUGGCAAUAGUUCAGGUGAAUAUACAUCGUCCUUCAAGUGCCUUCCAAACCGCACUGUGUCUCAUCUGGAAUGGAUAAGAAGGAAACCCAACAUUGGCAUGAAGAAAAUACUGAACGACUUGAUGAAAUACAAGUGGUCUUUAAACCACAUCAGAUCACAUUUCCAACAACUUCGUUUAUACAGUUCGGUGUCUCAGAACCUUGAAGACCUGAUUAAUUUUCUCCAAACUCUCCAGAAGCACGUGGAGGUCAAUGUCCCUCGAAGACACAGUUGUGUCCCAAGAAACGACAAGGAGAGGCUGGCAUUAUUGAGGAAUUUGCACAUGUAUAUAAUUCAUAUCGCCAGAAUUUUAGUAAGGUUCAAGGGUGGAAGUAUGGGAUGUUAAGUCUGCAUCUAAGUUCACACACACGGAACCGUCCUCUGAACACCCAGCCUUAAAUUUUCAUGUCGUUCAUUGGGACAUCGCAUAAUUAUUGACUUUUUGCAGGAGCUUUGUGCAGCAUCGACAAUCAAACUUGAGGAUCAAUGUGAUGACCUAAAUCCUCUUUGACCGGCACAGUGUUCCGUGCACAUGCUGAGAUUGUCUGAGGAACUAACCCGGCAUUAUUGUACUCUUGCCUCAACUUGAAACUUUUACAUUUUAUAUUUAUUUAAUUAUUUAAUAUGUUAACUUAUCUAUUUAUUUCCUAUUUUUUUUGUUUGAUCAGCG
Long non-coding RNA from Eptatretus burgeri (inshore hagfish), 930 nucleotides. NCBI's taxonomy places the organism in Eukaryota, Metazoa, Chordata, Myxini, Myxiniformes, Myxinidae. The record is from Ensembl.